UAAAUAUAUCUAUAUAUAACCUUCUUUAUGAAGAAAAAUACAGAACAACUGAAUCAUUAACAGAUUCCAUCGUUCAUCGAGUUUGUUUCUUUUAGCACAUUAUAUGUAAGAAUAAAAGCUUCAAUUCCUUUUAGUUGAUGAACUUGUAAUUGAUUGAAAUAAUGCAUUUCUUGCUAACUUGACUAAUUUCAGUGUUUCUGAUCUAAAAUUUGACUAUCAGUUCGUACUACAAUCGCACCAUACAAUACAAUUGCUCACAUUCACUUGAGUUUCUA
RNAcentral lists this long non-coding RNA (275 nucleotides) under Manihot esculenta (cassava). RNAcentral describes it as "long non-coding RNA (MESC_LNC006634)". The record is from RNAcentral. Lineage: Eukaryota; Viridiplantae; Streptophyta; Magnoliopsida; Malpighiales; Euphorbiaceae.